UACGUAGGGUGCGAGCGUUGUCCGGAAUUAUUGGGCGUAAAGAGCUCGUAGGCGGUGUGUCACGUCGGCCGUGAAAACCUGGGGCUUAACUCUGGGCGUGCGGUCGAUACGGGCAUCACUAGAGUUCGGCAGGGGAGACUGGAAUUCCUGGUGUAGCGGUGAAAUGCGCAGAUAUCUGGAGGAAUACCGGUGGCGAAGGCGGCAUCCUGGACCGACAUUGACGCUGAGGAGCGAAAGCUAGGGGAGCAAACGGG
This 254-nucleotide ribosomal RNA is filed under the name uncultured bacterium. RNAcentral's name for it is "partial 16S ribosomal RNA". It matches the Rfam family "Bacterial small subunit ribosomal RNA", at positions 524 to 776 of the family's 1533-position model. The record is from RNAcentral.